GACAGAGGGUGCAAGCGUUGUUCGGAAUUACUGGGCGUAAAGCGCACGUAGGCGGACUAUUAAGUCAGGGGUGAAAUCCCGGGGCUCAACCCCGGAACUGCCUUUGAUACUGGUAGUCUCGAGUCCGGAAGAGGUGAGUGGAAUUCCGAGUGUAGAGGUGAAAUGCGCAGAUAUCAGGAAGAACACCCGUGGCGAAGGCGGCUCUCUGGGACGUGACUGACGCUGAGGCGCGAAAGCGUGGGGAGCAAACAGG
RNAcentral lists this ribosomal RNA (253 nucleotides) under uncultured bacterium. RNAcentral's name for it is "partial 16S ribosomal RNA". It matches the Rfam family "Bacterial small subunit ribosomal RNA", at positions 524 to 776 of the family's 1533-position model. The record is from RNAcentral.